UUCACUAAGAAGAGGGAAAAUUUUAAAAUUAAAUUUUCACUAAGGAGGGAACAAUCUCCGGGUUCUUCAGUAGACGCUCUUGAUGUAACUCAAGGAGGGGGAAGGGUGGAAAGGGGCACUCAUGCCUUUACCAGAAAAACAAGAAACAUUUUAUUACAUAUUAACCAACAGUUUACUCUGAUUCUGAACUUGAGCCAGCAAAGGAGAGAAAGGGAGGCCCCGGCAUUAGGAUUUGUGACUAUUCCGUAGCUAAGUCAGUCACUGAAGGUUAGCAGGCAAACUUAAACAGCUCCCUGACAGAAGUGCUGGUACAGGAUGUGAAAUACCUCGCAGCUGAGCUCGGAAACUCAAACCAAACUGAGAAACAGAAACAAGACCCUGCUAGGUCAGGGCUCUACACUCAGCACGCCACAGCUAAAGACGCAAAACAAGAGUCUUCUAAACACCUCGCAAGUUUUCCCUCCCACUACGAGAUAAACUCUUGCAAAUAGUUUGUUUUGGAUGCAGAAGGCUCCCCUUCACGGCAGAUAAACAACUAUAUCGCAGGGCUGUGACAAACAGUUUGCUGGGGAAAAACACAGCUGGCUGCGAGGUCCCCGCGAGCAGAGCGGCCCCAAGAAAAGGGAAAGUUUCAGACACCCAGCCCUACGGAUGAAGCACAACACCAGGCUUCUCCCACAGCUGCAGAAAUCAACUGAAGAGCGCCUUGAAUUACUUCCCAAACUCAAUAGUCAGCAGCAAAACCAAGAAUAAACCCCAAGACUUCCUAUGCCCACUGGGUGCACCCUACACCAGAUCACCUACUACACGGGCAGGAGCAAUAACUGCCAUCCCAAAGAGCUCGAGAACCGCAUGCCCCAAGUCAGAUACACAGAUAACACCCUUCGCGUCGUCGCGUUCUCCAUCUCUGCGCUCUCAGCUAUGCCACCUCUCACCUCUCCUGGCCAACAGCACCACAGCUUACCUCUUCAACGAGAGAUCUUAAAGAGGAAUUUCUUUAGGAACCACUAUUUACUCUUUGACCAAUACUAUUAAAAAGUGGCGUGUGUUACGGGCUGGCUGUUCGGACCGACCUGCCUCCCAUGCCCUCGAGAAGCAGCUCCCUUCCCCGUCCCCAACCAUCGGGCAGCAUUUAGAAGCAGCACCCUCAACAAGAGCGCUGGCCGCAGUUCAGUGGCAAAGAGAUUGCCGACUACCUGCGGCUUAGGAAGCGCUGCCACAGCAGAAAGGCAAGUCGUUAGUUAAACUGGUACAGAACUCAAGCUGGAAAAUAAUGACAAAAUUUAACCCCUCAGUUCCCAGCUACCAAAAGUAUUUACUCACUUUUUCACAUUUGCCUCCCCGUUGGGAAUUCUGCGUAGUUUCUUCUUCUUCAGUAUUUUCACAGCUCUCCUACAGAGGGUUUCGGAGUCCAACAUCUCCUUGACUUUGCCGUAAGACCCUUCUCCAAGUAAGUCUCCCAUCAGGUAUUUGCCAAUGAGCUUGGCCCUUUUCCGCCGCGGCUGGUAGAUGACCUCCGUAGAGUCAAUGCGAUGGAUAAAAGUGUCCAUCCCCACAGACAUCAGCUCGCUCUCCGCAAACAUACCCAGCUGCUGUGGCUCCUGCAUAUCCAUCCUGGAUUAAGUUCCUUAACCUGUUUUCCUUAAGCGCUCAGGGUUUUAAUCCUGUUUGUUAGUUUCCAACACUCCCUUUUACUCCUUCUUGAAAAAAAAAAGAA
Non-coding RNA from Phalacrocorax carbo (great cormorant), 1717 nucleotides. The record is from RefSeq and is a predicted model, not a curated record. NCBI's taxonomy places the organism in Eukaryota, Metazoa, Chordata, Aves, Suliformes, Phalacrocoracidae.